This 73-nucleotide transfer RNA is filed under the name Selaginella moellendorffii. RNAcentral's name for it is "tRNA tRNA-Glu". It matches the Rfam family "tRNA". Rfam says of the family: Transfer RNA (tRNA) molecules are approximately 80 nucleotides in length. Lineage: Eukaryota; Viridiplantae; Streptophyta; Lycopodiopsida; Selaginellales; Selaginellaceae. The record is from Rfam by way of RNAcentral.
UCCGUUGUAGUCUAGUCGGUCAGGAUAUUCGGCUCUCACUCGAAAGACCCGGGUUCGAUUCCCGGCAACGGAU